UGGAGGAGGGGGAAUUGGAGGAAGGUGGUCAAAAGGUACAAACUUUCCGUUAUACAAUAAGUACUGGGGAUGUCAUGUACAGAUAGGAAGA
This is a non-coding RNA of Vicugna pacos (alpaca), 91 nucleotides long. The record is from RefSeq and is a predicted model, not a curated record. NCBI's taxonomy places the organism in Eukaryota, Metazoa, Chordata, Mammalia, Artiodactyla, Camelidae.